UCCUACGGGAGGCAGCAGUGGGGAAUAUUGCACAAUGGGCGCAAGCCUGAUGCAGCAACGCCGCGUGAGGGACGAAGGCCUUCGGGUUGUAAACCUCUUUUAGUAGGGAAGAAGCGACUGGGUUUUCCUGGGAGUGACGGUACCUGCAGAAAAAGCACCGGCUAACUACGUGCCAGCAGCCGCGGUAAUACGUAGGGUGCAAGCGUUGUCCGGAAUUAUUGGGCGUAAAGAGCUCGUAGGCGGUUUGUCGCGUCUGCUGUGAAAACCCGAGGCUCAACCUCGGGCCUGCAGUGGGUACGGGCAGACUAGAGUGCGGUAGGGGAGAUUGGAAUUCCUGGUGUAGCGGUGGAAUGCGCAGAUAUCAGGAGGAACACCAAUGGCGAAGGCAGAUCUCUGGGCCGUAACUGACGCUGAGGAGCGAAAGCAUGGGGAGCGAACAGGAUUAGAUACCCUGGUAGUCCAUGCCGUAAACGUUGGGAACUAGAUGUGGGGACCAUUCCACGGUCUCCGUGUCGCAGCUAACGCAUUAAGUUCCCCGCCUGGGGAGUACGGCCGCAAGGCUAAAACUCAAAGGAAUUGACGGGGGCCCGCACAAGCGGCGGAGCAUGCGGAUUAAUUCGAUGCAACGCGAAGAACCUUACCAAGGCUUGACAUAUACCGGAAACGGCUGGAAACAGUCGCCCCGCAAGGUCGGUAUACAGGUGGUGCAUGGUUGUCGUCAGCUCGUGUCGUGAGAUGUUGGGUUAAGUCCCGCAACGAGCGCAACCCUCGUCCUAUGUUGCCAGCACGUAAUGGUGGGAACUCAUGGGAUACUGCCGGGGUCAACUCGGAGGAAGGUGGGGAUGACGUCAAAUCAUCAUGCCCCUUAUGUCUUGGGCUUCACGCAUGCUACAAUGGCCGGUACAAAGGGCUGCGAUACCGCAAGGUGGAGCGAAUCCCAAAAAGCCGGUCUCAGUUCGGAUUGAGGUCUGCAACUCGACCUCAUGAAGUCGGAGUCGCUAGUAAUCGCAGAUCAGCAACGCUGCGGUGAAUACGUUCCCGGGCCUUGUACACACCGCC
This 1059-nucleotide ribosomal RNA is filed under the name uncultured Cryobacterium sp. RNAcentral's name for it is "bacterial SSU rRNA". It matches the Rfam family "Bacterial small subunit ribosomal RNA", at positions 337 to 1394 of the family's 1533-position model. Lineage: Bacteria; Bacillati; Actinomycetota; Actinomycetes; Micrococcales; Microbacteriaceae. The record is from RNAcentral.